GCCCUCUUAGCUCAGUGGUAGUAGCGCGUCACUAGUAGAACCCCUAUUUAUGACGAGGUCAGUCGUUCAAAUCGGCUAGAGGGCA
Non-coding RNA from Exidia glandulosa HHB12029, 85 nucleotides. NCBI's taxonomy places the organism in Eukaryota, Fungi, Basidiomycota, Agaricomycetes, Auriculariales, Exidiaceae. The record is from the annotation of a GenBank genome assembly.